RNAcentral lists this ribosomal RNA (250 nucleotides) under uncultured bacterium. Its description in RNAcentral is "partial 16S ribosomal RNA". It matches the Rfam family "Bacterial small subunit ribosomal RNA", at positions 94 to 339 of the family's 1533-position model. The record is from RNAcentral.
AGCGGCGGACGGGUGAGUAACACGUGGGCAAUCUGCCCGAUACUCUGGGAUAACGCUUGGAAACGAGUGCUAAUACCGGAUGGUCUUCUUGGCCGCAUGGCCGAGAAGGAAAAGACGCGUUCGCGUCGGUGUCGGAUGAGCCCGCGGCGCAUUAGCUAGUUGGUGAGGUAACGGCCCACCAAGGCGACGAUGCGUAGCCGACCUGAGAGGGUGACCGGCCACACUGGGACUGAGACACGGCCCAGACUCC